Long non-coding RNA from Trachemys scripta elegans, 385 nucleotides. RefSeq lists it as uncharacterized. The transcript is spliced from 3 exons. The record is from RefSeq and is a predicted model, not a curated record. NCBI's taxonomy places the organism in Eukaryota, Metazoa, Chordata, Testudines, Emydidae.
GCAAACCUGGCUACUUCUGUACUGGAGCUGCCAAGACUCCCCUUCAGCAUGUGGCCAUGGAGGGGCAUUAUUCGCUGGCCGGAGCUUUCAGACCAGAACCCUGCCCUCCUGGGAGUUUCCAGCCUGUCCUUGGUCAGUCUCUGUGUAGAGAGUGCCCAGAGGGGACGUUUUGCAAUCAGACCGGCCUGGCUGAACCUGUGACUUGUCCCAAAGGGCAUUACUGCCCAGCUCGGAGUAUCCUGCCUCUCCCAUGUCCAGUGGGCACUUACAUGGACAUACUCGGUGCCAUGGGGACAGGAUCCUGCAAACCCUGCAUGGCAGGCAUGUACUGCAGCACAGCGGGUCUGGCCAUGCCUGAGGGACUGUGCCAGCCAGGAUAUUAUUG